Molecule: ribosomal RNA, 398 nt
Filed under: uncultured bacterium
Lineage: Bacteria
Description: bacterial SSU rRNA
Rfam family: Bacterial small subunit ribosomal RNA
Source: RNAcentral
UUAGGAAUCUUCCACAACGGGCGACAGCCUGAUGGAGCGACGCCGCGUGAGGGAUGAAGGCCUUAGGGUUGUAAACCUCUAAAAGAGGGACGAUAAUGACGGUACCUCUUGAAUAGCACCGGCUAACUCCGUGCCAGCAGCCGCGGUAAUACGGAGGGUGCAAGCGUUAUCCGGAAUCACUGGGCGUAAAGGGCGCGUAGGCGGUCUGUUAAGUCCGAUGUUAAAUCCCGGGGCUCAACCCCGGAUAAGCGUUGGAUACUGGCAGGCUAGACGGUUGGAGAGGCGAGUGGAAUUACCAGUGUAGCGGUGGAAUGCGUAGAUACUGGUAGGAACACCCAUUGCGAAGGCAGCUCGCUGGACAACACGUGACGCUGAGGCGCGAAAGUGUGGGGAGCAAA